GUUUUUUAGUGUUCGGGAGCAAGGCCGUCAAUCUAUAGCAGAUCACAAUGCUGAUGAGAACAGACAAGGGUCUCAAGUUGACACAUGUCGUAACACGAAUUUUUCUUCAGGCAAUAAUUGUACUAAAGAGAAAUUGGAAGGACUGGAACGUAACUUAU
This is a long non-coding RNA of Asparagus officinalis (garden asparagus), 158 nucleotides long. RefSeq lists it as uncharacterized. Lineage: Eukaryota; Viridiplantae; Streptophyta; Magnoliopsida; Asparagales; Asparagaceae. The transcript has 3 exons. The record is from RefSeq and is a predicted model, not a curated record.